UUGCACUUGUCGGGGAAGGGUGAGAACCUUCGAUUAAGGUUCGACUCGAGCGAAAGCGAGAGAACGUUGCCAACGGCAACGGCCCGAAGGGUGAGGAGCGAAGCGACGAAUAAUCCUUCCCCCACCACCA
Molecule: small RNA, 130 nt
Filed under: Citrobacter freundii
Lineage: Bacteria; Pseudomonadati; Pseudomonadota; Gammaproteobacteria; Enterobacterales; Enterobacteriaceae
Description: RtT sRNA
Rfam family: RtT RNA
About the family: This family represents a bacterial cis-regulatory element known as RtT RNA. The exact function of RtT is unknown although it is thought that it may be involved in changing the cellular response in relation to amino acid starvation.
Source: RNAcentral